GAUGAAGAACGCAGCGAAAUGCGAUAAGUAAUGUGAAUUGCAGAAUUCAGUGAAUCAUCGAAUCUUUGAACGCACCUUGCACCCUUUGGUAUUCCGAAGGGUAUGCUCGUUUGAGUGUCAUUGUACUCUCACACUUCCGAUCGUUUGGAUCGGGAGCGGUGGACUUGGGUGUUGCUGCUUUACUGUGGCUCACCUUAAAUGCAUUAGUGCACCUUUCGGUUGGACAUAGUACGGCGUGAUAAGUGUCUUCGCCGGCACCUCACAGAGGGUGGCUGAUCGGGAUGUUGUGCUCCAAACCGUCUUCGGACAAUCUCUGACGACUUGACCUCAAAUCGAGUAAGACUACCCGCUGAACUUAAGCAUAUCAAUAAGCGGAGGA
This 379-nucleotide unclassified non-coding RNA is filed under the name soil metagenome. RNAcentral's name for it is "partial contains 5.8S ribosomal RNA, internal transcribed spacer 2, and large subunit ribosomal RNA". The stretch from base 1 to 120 matches the Rfam family "5.8S ribosomal RNA", at positions 35 to 154 of the family's 154-position model. The record is from RNAcentral.